Cercocebus atys (sooty mangabey) is the source of this 106-nucleotide microRNA precursor. The record is from Ensembl. NCBI's taxonomy places the organism in Eukaryota, Metazoa, Chordata, Mammalia, Primates, Cercopithecidae.
GUAGAAAGAGUCCAGAUUCUGGGAAGGUGGAAAGGGAGCAGGAGCAUCAUCAUUAAGAGGGUCAGGUACCUUUGCUCUUAUAUCAGAGGCUGUGGGCUCCCUACAG